Molecule: non-coding RNA, 1168 nt
Organism: Pimephales promelas (fathead minnow)
Lineage: Eukaryota; Metazoa; Chordata; Actinopteri; Cypriniformes; Leuciscidae
Source: RefSeq, a predicted model, not a curated record
GUGGUCUUUAGAGUAAAACUUUACUUUUGUUACGAAGCCCCUAAGGAGACAUGGUGAUGGGAAAAAAUUGAUGUAAGGAAACUCCCUAAACUCAUAUCCCAUGUUCCCCUACUUAUUCAUUGAGGAUCUUAUUGGUGACAUCAUUAAAUAAGCAAUUUCAAAGAUUAAAAAAAGUAUCCAUUAAUGACUGGAAAGAUAAUAGAUAUUCCUUGGUUAAUUGGUUUGGGAUCCCUGUAAACAUUUGUAUUCAUGGGUUUCAGUCACGUGACUUUUUUGUUGCGGCCGCCAUCUUUAGGACCUUUGCGUAGCUGCGACAGUAGUUAGCUUCUCCUGAUCGGAAAGAUGUCGCACACUAAAAUAGCACAGCACACCUCAUUACAGAUGAAAAGGUAUUUAAAUAAAAUUGAUAAGGUUUAGAUCCGUGUUUACUUUCAAACGAACUGCUGACUUGUAAAAAUUUGACGUUCGCUGACAUUUACUACCUCGUCCACAAUCCCUAUCCAUUCACCGGAAGGCAUUUAAAAGCACUGAAGCCUACCGCUACUUCACCUCAGGUUGGGUUAAUGAUCCCGGAAUCUAUCAUCUGGAGAUGAAGAAAAUGUUCUUGAUAACAGGAAGGGUGAAGCAUUCACAAAGCCUCAGUUUAACACCAACAUACCACUGGAUAACAGUACAGGAAGAUGGGACAGUUCUCAGAUAUUUUGAAGAAUGUCAUCAACCAAACAGUAAACUGGAACCAUUGACUUCCAUAGUAGGAAAAAAAAUUACCAUGGAAGUCAAUGGUUCCAGUUUGGUUACUGACAUUCUUCAAAAUAUCUUCCUUUGUGUUCUCCUGUAGAAAGAAAUGCAUGCAGGUUUGAAACAACUUGAGGGUGAGAAUGAUGACAGAAUUUUCAUUUUAAAGUGAACUAUUCCUUUAAUGAAGUUCAUAUCUUCAUUUAGUGUUAUUUUUCAAUCAGUAGUUUAAAAUGCCUUUUUCAAUAACAUUCGGUUAAGUUACUAUUUGUGAGCCGGGCACAGGGUUUCUGGUAGGAAUAAAUAUUUGCACAGUAGAAAUGCAGUUUGAAUCUACAACCUAAUUACCCAUGUGGUUUAUAAUGUAUAUGGGAUUUUUUAUGAAUGAUUUGAUUAUUACGAAUGAUUAACAAUAAACAGAAUGAGAACAGAA